GGAAUUGUUACUUCAUGGUGGAGAGAUGAACGAAGAUGGAUAUUCCAUUCUGAUGAUCUCCAGAAGAGUGUUUUUACCCUGGUAAUGAAGUUCCCCUCAAACUUCACGAUGCUUUCUGAAGUAGCAUGCACAGGAGGGUAUACACAGUAGUUUCUCAUCCUUUUCAGCCUGACAUCCAUUUUAGAUGCUAAUUCCACUACUGAACUGCAGAUUCUUGUGCCGAAGGCUGUGCCCAAGGUAAGUGGACUGUACCUAGAACUGCUGCAUGGUGUUUCUUGUCCCACCUCUCCUCUGCUCUGGAUGUAAUACUUUGUAAUAGAUUGCUGGAGCAGCUGCCAAAA
RNAcentral lists this long non-coding RNA (341 nucleotides) under Calidris pugnax (ruff). RNAcentral's name for it is "lncRNA (ENSCPUG00000011358.1)". The record is from RNAcentral. Lineage: Eukaryota; Metazoa; Chordata; Aves; Charadriiformes; Scolopacidae.